This 1059-nucleotide long non-coding RNA is filed under the name Ursus maritimus (polar bear). RNAcentral describes it as "lncRNA (ENSUMAG00000010406.1)". The record is from RNAcentral. Lineage: Eukaryota; Metazoa; Chordata; Mammalia; Carnivora; Ursidae.
CAGGCCCCGAGGAGGGCGAGGCCCCGAGGAGCAGCAGUGUCCAGACCGGGAGGGGCAACGCCAGCGGGUGGCCAAGCCCCUGACAUGCGGGCCUCGCCGUCUCUGUGGGGACGCCGGGCACAGGGCCCACGACCAGCCCAUGUGGGCCAGGCCUUGGGUGGCCACCAGCCAGACCCUCUCCCAGCUUCUGGGCAGAGCGAGNNNNNNNNNNNNNNNNNNNNNNNNNNNNNNNNNNNNNNNNNNNNNNNNNNNCUGCUCCCCAGCCAGCCCCGCUGGCCUGCUGGCCGCAGGCUGGUGGAGCUGUGUUCCUGGGAACACCUAGAAACCGCGCUGCUUGGAAACACUGUGGCGUUGCCAUGCACGGCGUCUCCUCCAGGCCAGCCAGGGAGGCCUGGUGCCCCGGGCUGCGGAAUGUGGGCCCCCUCCCAGGCCCCCCGAGUUGCUGAAGGAACUGACUCAGAGCCCAGCAAAUUCCUGCCGCCGAGGCCCUUUCUCCUCCUGCCCCGGGAACGCGCGGUGUCCGCAGGGCGCAGCAAGGAGAGGGCCUGCUUUCCAGACCGGGGCGCUGGAAUGUUCUCUCUGACGGUGCGAGCCGACUCCUGCGCCCCAUUUCAGCGGCGGCCGCAUUCCUGGUGUGAGCCCGGGCCAGCCCAGCGAGCUUUUUCCACGCUCCGGUGCCAGCCCCCUGGGCUCGGGGGCGGGGAGAGGACGGUUUCUAUGGGGAGUAUGUCGUCAUGAUCCGCGAUGUGACCAACCCUCCCUUCCUGGGACACACGCUGCCCACCGCCUUCAAACACCUUCGGGUCUUGGGGAAGGGGACGGACAAGCAGCCCCGCGUCCCUGGAGAAGGCCCCAAAUCCCCGAGAUAGGAGAGCCACCCCCAUGCACCUGACAGCCACCAGUGUCCCCCUCAGGACACCAUCCUCAUCUGAAUGGGAGGAAAAGCCGCCUGUGCUCUGCGGGGCUCCUUCCUGCACUUCCCAGGGGCGCUGAGCAGGGGCCGGAGGGCCGCCUGCACGUAUCCCACGGCUCAAUAAACAGCUCAGCAGCGACUCCGAC